This 997-nucleotide ribosomal RNA is filed under the name uncultured bacterium. RNAcentral describes it as "bacterial SSU rRNA". It matches the Rfam family "Bacterial small subunit ribosomal RNA", at positions 48 to 1023 of the family's 1533-position model. The record is from RNAcentral.
GAUUAACAUGCAGUCGAGCGGUAACAGACAUAAAGAUUUAGCUUGCUAAAUCCGGUGCUGACGAGCGGCGAACGGGUGAGUAACACGUAGGAAUCUACCCAGUAGCGGGGGAUAGCCCGGGGAAACCCGGAUUAAUACCGCAUACGCCCUACGGGGGAAAGCGGGGGACCUUUCGAGGCCUCGCACUAUUGGAGGAGCCUGCGUUGGAUUAGCUAGUUGGCGGGGUAAAAGCCCACCAAGGCGACGAUCCAUAGCUGGUCUGAGAGGACGACCAGCCACACUGGGACUGAGACACGGCCCAGACUCCUACGGGAGGCAGCAGUGGGGAAUAUUGUGCAAUGGGGGAAACCCUGACACAGCCAUGCCGCGUGUGUGAAGAAGGCCCUAGGGUUGUAAAGCACUUUCAGUAGCAAGGAACAAGCGAGGUUAAUAGCCUCGUCUAAUGACGUUAGCUACAGAAGAAGUACCGGCUAACUCCGUGCCAGCAGCCGCGGUAAUACGGAGGGUACGAACGUUAAUCGGAAUUACUGGGCGUAAAGCGCGCGUAGGCGGUUUGAUAAGCUGGAUGUGAAAGCCCCGGGCUCAACCUGGGAACUGCAUCCAGAACUGUCUGACUAGAAUACAAUAGAGGUGAGUGGAAUUUCCUGUGUAGCGGUGAAAUGCGUAGAUAUAGGAAGGAACAUCAGUGGCGAAGGCGACUCACUGGAUUGAUAUUGACGCUAAGGUGCGAAAGCGUGGGGAGCGAACAGGAUUAGAUACCCUGGUAGUCCACGCCGUAAACGAUGUCUACUAGCCGUUGGGAUCCUUGAGGUCUUAGUGGCGCAGCUAACGCAAUAAGUAGACCGCCUGGGGAGUACGGCCGCAAGGUUAAAACUCAAAUGAAUUGACGGGGGCCCGCACAAGCGGUGGAGCAUGUGGUUUAAUUCGAUGCAACGCGAAGAACCUUACCAGGUCUUGACAUCCCGAGAAGUCGCUAGAGAUAGCUUCGUGCCUUCGG